RNAcentral lists this transfer RNA (88 nucleotides) under Chloroflexota bacterium. Its description in RNAcentral is "Chloroflexi bacterium (bioreactor metagenome) tRNA-Ser". It matches the Rfam family "tRNA". From Rfam's summary of the family: Transfer RNA (tRNA) molecules are approximately 80 nucleotides in length. Their secondary structure includes four short double-helical elements and three loops (D, anti-codon, and T loops). Further hydrogen bonds mediate the characteristic L-shaped molecular structure. tRNAs have two regions of fundamental functional importance: the anti-codon, which is responsible for specific mRNA codon recognition, and the 3' end, to which the tRNAs corresponding amino acid is attached (by aminoacyl-tRNA synthetases). tRNAs cope with the degeneracy of the genetic code in two manners: having more than one tRNA (with a specific anti-codon) for a particular amino acid; and 'wobble' base-pairing, i.e. permitting non-standard base-pairing at the 3rd anti-codon position. Lineage: Bacteria; Bacillati; Chloroflexota. The record is from RNAcentral.
GGAGAGGUGCCGGAGCGGUUGAACGGUCCUGUCUUGAAAACAGGCGGCUCGCAAGAGCCCGUGGGUUCGAAUCCCACCCUCUCCGCCA